AGAGUUUGAUCAUGGCUCAGAAUCAACGCUGGCGGCGCGCCUAACACAUGCAAGUCGAACGAGAAAGCGGGAGCAAUCUCGCAAGUACAGUGGCGUACGGGUGAGUAACACGUGGAUUAUCUGCCCUGGAGUGGGGAAUAACGCUGGGAAACCGGCGCUAAUACCGCAUAUUCCCGAGAGGGGAAAGCAGCAAUGCGCUCGAGGAGGAGUCCGCGGCCGAUUAGCUAGUUGGCAGGGUAAAAGCCUACCAAGGCUAUGAUCGGUAGCCGGCCUGAGAGGGCACACGGCCACACUGGCACUGAAACACGGGCCAGACUCCUACGGGAGGCAGCAGUGGGGAAUCUUGCACAAUGGGGGAAACCCUGAUGCAGCGACGCCGCGUGAGCGAUGAAGCCCUUCGGGGUGUAAAGCUCUUUCGGCAGGGAAGAUUAUGACGGUACCUGCAGAAGCAGCUGCGGCUAACUACGUGCCAGCAGCCGCGGUAAUACGUAGGCAGCAAGCGUUGUUCGGAGUUACUGGGCGUAAAGGGUGUGUAGGUGGCCUGUUAAGUUCCGUGUGAAAUCUCCCGGCUCAACCGGGAGGGUGCGGUGAAUACUGAGGGACUAGAGUACGGGAGAGGAAAGUGGAAUUCCUGGUGUAGCGGUGAAAUGCGUAGAUAUCAGGAGGAACACCGGUGGUGUAGACGGCUUUCUGGACCGUAACUGACGCUGAGACACGAAAGCGUGGGUAGCAAACAGGAUUAGAUACCCUAGUAGUCC
This 758-nucleotide ribosomal RNA is filed under the name uncultured bacterium. RNAcentral describes it as "bacterial SSU rRNA". It matches the Rfam family "Bacterial small subunit ribosomal RNA", at positions 8 to 796 of the family's 1533-position model. The record is from RNAcentral.